This 381-nucleotide ribosomal RNA is filed under the name uncultured bacterium. RNAcentral's name for it is "bacterial SSU rRNA". It matches the Rfam family "Bacterial small subunit ribosomal RNA", at positions 28 to 417 of the family's 1533-position model. The record is from RNAcentral.
GACGAACGCUGGCGGCGUGCUUAACACAUGCAAGUGGAGCGACGAACCAGGGCUUGCCCUGGGGCAGAGCCGCGAACGGGUGAGUAACACGUGGGUUACCUACCCCGAUGACCGGGACAACCCGAGGAAACUCGGGCUAAUACCGGAUGUGGUCUUCGGACGAAAGGAAGCUUCGGCCUCCGCAUCGGGAUGGGCCCGCGGCGCAUUAGCUUGUUGGUGGGGUAACGGCCUACCAAGGCGACGAUGCGUAGCUGGUCUGAGAGGACGAUCAGCCACACUGGGACUGAGACACGGCCCAGACUCCUACGGGAGGCAGCAGUGGGGAAUCUUGCGCAAUGCGCGAAAGCGUGACGCAGCAACGCCGCGUGGGGAAGAAGGCCU